AAUGAACGCUGGCGGCAGGCCUAACACAUGCAAGUCGAGCGAGGUAGCAAUACCUAGCGGCGGACGGGUGAGUAACGCGUGGGAACGUACCCUUUGCUUCGGAAUAGCCCCUGGAAACGGGGAGUAAUACCGGAUGAGCCCUACGGGGGAAAGAUUUAUCGGCAAAGGAUCGGCCCGCGUUGGAUUAGGUAGUUGGUGGGGUAAUGGCCUACCAAGCCGACGAUCCAUAGCUGGUUUGAGAGGAUGAUCAGCCACACUGGGACUGAGACACGGCCCAGACUCCUACGGGAGGCAGCAGUGGGGAAUCUUAGACAAUGGGCGCAAGCCUGAUCUAGCCAUGCCGCGUGAUCGAUGAAGGCCUUAGGGUUGUAAAGAUCUUUCGUGGGGGAAGAUAAUGACGGUACCCCAAGAAGAAGCCCCGGCUAACUCCGUGCCAGCAGCCGCGGUAAUACGGAGGGGGCUAGCGUUAUUCGGAAUUACUGGGCGUAAAGCGCACGUAGGCGGAUUGAAAAGUCAGAGGUGAAAUCCCAGAGCUCAACUUUGGAACUGCCUUUGAAACUCUCAGUCUUGAGGUCGAGAGAGGUGAGUGGAAUUCCGAGUGUAGAGGUGAAAUUCGUAGAUAUUCGGAGGAACACCAGUGGCGAAGGCGGCUCACUGGCUCGAUAC
Molecule: ribosomal RNA, 666 nt
Filed under: uncultured bacterium
Lineage: Bacteria
Description: bacterial SSU rRNA
Rfam family: Bacterial small subunit ribosomal RNA
Source: RNAcentral